UACAGAGGUCCCAAGCGUUGUUCGGAUUCACUGGGCGUAAAGGGUGCGUAGGCGGUCGGGUAAGUCUGGCGUGAAGUCUCCAAGCCUAACUUGGAAACUGCGUUGGAUACUAUCCGGCUCGAGGAAUGGAGGGGAGACUGGAAUACUUGGUGUAGCAGUGAAAUGCGUAGAUAUCAAGUGGAACACCAGUGGCGAAGGCGAGUCUCUGGACAUUUCCUGACGCUGAGGCACGAAAGCCAGGGGAGCAAACGGG
Molecule: ribosomal RNA, 253 nt
Filed under: uncultured bacterium
Lineage: Bacteria
Description: partial 16S ribosomal RNA
Rfam family: Bacterial small subunit ribosomal RNA
Source: RNAcentral